This 431-nucleotide ribosomal RNA is filed under the name uncultured bacterium. RNAcentral's name for it is "bacterial SSU rRNA". It matches the Rfam family "Bacterial small subunit ribosomal RNA", at positions 8 to 438 of the family's 1533-position model. The record is from RNAcentral.
AGAGUUUGAUCAUGGCUCAGAACGAACGCUGAUGGCGUGCCUUAUACAUGCAAGUCGAGCGAGAAGUUGGUGCUUGCACCAAUGGACAGCGGCGAACGGGUGAGUAACACGUGAAUAACCUGCCCUUCAGUUGGGGACAACAUUCCUAACGAGAUGCUAAUACCGAAUAUCGUAAUCAUUCGCAUGUUUGAUUACAAAAGGCUUCGGCCGUUGAAGGAUGGAUUCGCGUCUGAUUAGCUAGUUGGUGAGGUAAUGGCUCACCAAGGCAACGAUCAGUAGCCGNCCUGAGAGGGUGAUCGGCCACAUUGGGACUGAGAUACGGCCCAGACUCCUACGGGAGGCAGCAGUAGGGAAUAUUGCGCAAUGGAGGAAACUCUGACGCAGCAACGCCAUGUGUGGGAUGACGCAUUUCGGUGUGUAAACCACUGUCG